UUAGGGGGCAAGCGUUGUCCGGAUUUAUUGGGCGUAAAGAGCUCGUAGGCGGUUCGGCAAGUCGGAUGUGAAAUCUCCACGCUCAACGUGGAGGGGCCAUUCGAUACUGCCGUGACUCGAGUCCGGUAGGGGAGUGUGGAAUUCCCGGUGUAGCGGUGAAAUGCGCAGAGAUCGGGAGGAACACCCGUAGCGAAGGCGGCACUCUGGGCCGGUACUGACGCUGAGGAGCGAAAGCGUGGGGAGCGAACAGGAUUAGAUACCCUGGUAGUCCACGCCGUAAACGUUGGGCACUAGGUGUGGGACUCUAUCGACGGGUUCCGUGCCGUAGCUAACGCAUUAAGUGCCCCGCCUGGGGAGUACGGCCGCAAGGCUA
This 373-nucleotide ribosomal RNA is filed under the name uncultured bacterium. RNAcentral describes it as "bacterial SSU rRNA". It matches the Rfam family "Bacterial small subunit ribosomal RNA", at positions 527 to 896 of the family's 1533-position model. The record is from RNAcentral.